Molecule: ribosomal RNA, 519 nt
Filed under: Triticum aestivum (bread wheat)
Lineage: Eukaryota; Viridiplantae; Streptophyta; Magnoliopsida; Poales; Poaceae
Description: partial small subunit ribosomal RNA
Source: RNAcentral
AUGCAGCCCUACCAUUGCGAUUAUUUGCAUGUGGAUGACUUGGUGGUUGCACGUAGUUUUGAUUUUGAUCAACCUCAUCCUCAUAAUCUCUCGCAUAAUCAUCCUCCUCCUCAUAAGCAGCAGGAGCCACAGAAGUAUCAACAGCAGCACCAACAGUUUUGCCAGGCUCAAGAGGGACACGGCUCACUCGGCGGAGGGCAGUUUCGCGAGGUGGAGGUAGUCGUUGUAGUAGUCGUUGUAGUAGUAGUCGUCGUCGUCGUCGUCGUCGUCGUCGUUGUCGUUGUAGUUGUAGUAGUCGUUGUAGUUGUAGUAGUAGUAGUAGUAGUAGUAGUAGUAGUAGUUGUUGUUGUUGUUGUUGUUGUUGUUGCAGCCGGUGGUGGUGGUGGAAGACGCACAAGCACUUCAUUAAAUUUGUUAUCGAGCUUUGUUUCGAACGUCUUCUCAAGGCCAGUUAUCUUAUCCAUGGCCUCUUCAAAAUUGUUUAGCACAUCUUGCACCUGUUCAGUCAUCAUUUGCUGA